RNAcentral lists this ribosomal RNA (2094 nucleotides) under Stenotrophomonas maltophilia. RNAcentral describes it as "partial 23S ribosomal RNA". It matches the Rfam family "Bacterial large subunit ribosomal RNA", at positions 1 to 2142 of the family's 2925-position model. The record is from RNAcentral. Lineage: Bacteria; Pseudomonadati; Pseudomonadota; Gammaproteobacteria; Lysobacterales; Lysobacteraceae.
GGUCAAGCGAAUAAGCGCACACGGUGGAUGCCUUGGCGGUCAGAGGCGAUGAAGGACGUGGCAGCCUGCGAAAAGUAUCGGGGAGCUGGCAACAAGCUUUGAUCCGGUAAUGUCCGAAUGGGGAAACCCACCCGCUUGCGGGUAUCCUGCAGUGAAUACAUAGCUGCUGGAAGCGAACCUGGUGAACUGAAAUAUCUAAGUAACCAGAGGAAAAGAAAUCAACCGAGAUUCCGUAAGUAGCGACGAGCGAACGCGGACUAGCCCUUAAGCUGGAUUGGUUCUAGGAAAACGCUCUGGAAAGAGCGGCCAUAGAAGGUGAUAGCCCUGUAUCUGAAAGGGCCAUUCCAGUGAAGACGAGUAGGGCGGGGCACGUGAAACCCUGUCUGAACAUGGGGGGACCAUCCUCCAAGGCUAAAUACUACUGACCGACCGAUAGUGAACCAGUACCGUGAGGGAAAGGCGAAAAGAACCCCGGAGAGGGGAGUGAAAUAGAACCUGAAACCGUGUGCGUACAAGCAGUAGGAGCUCCGCAAGGAGUGACUGCGUACCUUUUGUAUAAUGGGUCAGCGACUUACUGUUCGUGGCAAGCUUAACCGUAUAGGGGAGGCGAAGGGAAACCGAGUCUGAUAAGGGCGCAUAGUCGCGGGCAGUAGACCCGAAACCGGGUGAUCUAGUCAUGCCCAGGGUGAAGGUGCGGUAACACGCACUGGAGGCCCGAACCCACUCCCGUUGCAAAGGUAGGGGAUGAGGUGUGAUUAGGAGUGAAAAGCUAAUCGAACCCGGAGAUAGCUGGUUCUCCUCGAAAGCUAUUUAGGUAGCGCCUCAUAUGUAUCCUCUCGGGGGUAGAGCACUGUUAUGGCUAGGGGGUCAUCGCGACUUACCAAACCAUUGCAAACUCCGAAUACCGAGACGGACUGUAUGGGAGACACACGGCGGGUGCUAACGUCCGUCGUGAAAAGGGAAACAACCCAGACCCACAGCUAAGGUCCCAAAUUCACUGCUAAGUGGAAAACCAUGUGGAAAGGCACAGACAGCCAGGAGGUUGGCUUAGAAGCAGCCACCCUUUAAAGAAAGCGUAAUAGCUCACUGGUCGAGUCGGUCUGCGGGGAAGAUUUAACGGGGCUAAGCAGUGAACCGAAGCUUGGGGUGCAUAACUUUGUUAUGCGCGGUAGAGGAGCGUUCCGUAAGCCGUUGAAGGUGGAUUGAGAAGUCUGCUGGAGGUAUCGGAAGUGCGAAUGCUGACAUGAGUAACGAUAAUGCGGGUGAAAAACCCGCACGCCGAAAGCCCAAGGUUUCCUUGCGCAACGUUAAUCGGCGCAGGGUGAGUCGGCCCCUAAGGCGAGGACGAAAGUCGUAGUCGAUGGGAAGCAGGUUAAUAUUCCUGCACCUCGCGUAAGUGCGAUGGAGGGACGGAGAAGGUUAGGUGUACCAGGCGUUGGUUGUCCUGGGGAAAGGCGGUAGGUUUGGAUCUUUGGCAAAUCCGGGAUCCUUUAAGACCGAGCACCGAGACGAGCCUUUAUGGCGAAGUCACUGAUACCACGCUUCCAGGAAAAGCUCCUAAGCUUCAGCUUACGCAGACCGUACCGUAAACCGACACAGGUGGGUAGGAUGAGAAUUCUCAGGCGCUUGAGAGAACUCGGGUGAAGGAACUAGGCAACAUGGCACCGUAACUUCGGGAGAAGGUGCACCCUUUUUGGUGGCUCGUGCGAGCUAUAGCUGAAGAGGGUCGCAGUAACCAGGCCGCUGCGACUGUUUAUCAAAAACACAGCACUCUGCAAACACGAAAGUGGACGUAUAGGGUGUGACGCCUGCCCGGUGCUGGAAGGUUAAUUGAUGGGGUCAGCCGCAAGGCGAAGCUCUUGAUCGAAGCCCCAGUAAACGGCGGCCGUAACUAUAACGGUCCUAAGGUAGCGAAAUUCCUUGUCGGGUAAGUUCCGACCUGCACGAAUGGCGUAACGACAGCGGCGCUGUCUCCACCCGAGACUCAGUGAAAUUGAAAUCGCUGUGAAGAUGCAGCGUUCCCGUGGCAAGACGGAAAGACCCCGUGAACCUUUACUAUAGCUUUACACUGAACGUUGAGUUCGUCUGUGUAGG